Molecule: ribosomal RNA, 554 nt
Filed under: uncultured bacterium
Lineage: Bacteria
Description: partial 16S ribosomal RNA
Rfam family: Bacterial small subunit ribosomal RNA
Source: RNAcentral
UAGGGAAUCUUCCACAAUGGACGCAAGUCUGAUGGAGCAACGCCGCGUAAGUGAAGAAGGUUUUCGGACCGUAAAGCUCUGUUGUUGGUGAAGAAGGAUAGAGGUAGUAACUGGCCUUUAUUUGACGGUAAUCAACCAGAAAGUCACGGCUAACUACGUGCCAGCAGCCGCGGUAAUACGUAGGUGGCAAGCGUUGUCCGGAUUUAUUGGGCGUAAAGCGAGCGCAGGCGGAAGAAUAAGUCUGAUGUGAAAGCCCUCGGCUUAACCGAGGAAUUGCAUCGGAAACUGUUUUCUUGAGUGCAGAAGAGGAGAGUAGAACUCCAUGUGUAGCGGUGGAAUGCGUAGAUAUAUGGAAGAAUACCAGUGGCGAAGGCGGCUCUCUGGUCUGCAACUGACGCUGAGGCUCGAAAGCAUGGGUAGCGAACAGGAUUAGAUACCCUGGUAGUCCAUGCCGUAAACGAUGAGUGCUAAGUGUUGGGAGGCUUCCGCCUCUCAGUGCUGCAGCUAACGCAUUAAGCACUCCGCCUGGGGGAGUACGACCGCAAGGUUGAAAC